CGGACGGGUGAGUAAUGUAUGGGGAUCUGCCUGAUGGCGGGGGAUAACUACUGGAAACGGUAGCUAAUACCGCAUAACGUCGCAAGACCAAAGAGGGGACCUUAGGGCCUCUUGCCAUCGGAUGUGCCCAGAUGGGAUUAGCUAGUAGGUGGGGUAACGGCUUACCUAGGCGACGAUCCCUAGCUGGUCUGAGAGGAUGAUCAGCCACACUGGGACUGAGACACGGCCCAG
This 231-nucleotide ribosomal RNA is filed under the name uncultured bacterium. RNAcentral describes it as "partial 16S ribosomal RNA". It matches the Rfam family "Bacterial small subunit ribosomal RNA", at positions 99 to 334 of the family's 1533-position model. The record is from RNAcentral.